Solanum tuberosum (potato) is the source of this 2174-nucleotide long non-coding RNA. RefSeq lists it as uncharacterized. The transcript is spliced from 3 exons. NCBI's taxonomy places the organism in Eukaryota, Viridiplantae, Streptophyta, Magnoliopsida, Solanales, Solanaceae. The record is from RefSeq and is a predicted model, not a curated record.
CAAGACAAUUUAAACAAAGGAAAAAGUAUACCAUCCUCUGACCAUUUCUCUAACAAGUAAGCAUGUUCUUUCCAUUACGUGUUCCGUAUGGCAUAUUGAUCGUCCCAAUAUUGUAACUUUCCCAUUAUUACUAAUUUGACAUUGCUAAUCUAUUUUCUCUAACAACAUGUAUGAUACCCGACUUAUCUAAAUUUGCCUACUUACAUUUUAACUUCAACCUUUAAACAUAAGAGAACUGCUUAAUUUGUAUCUAAAAUCUUUUGAUUUUGUCAUCUUGAUAUAAAUAUGCAAUUUGUGUAAAUAGUGAAGUUGAUAUCUUAAUAGGAGCUUGGCCUAACUAUUUUUGAUAUGUUCCUUUUCAAUAAUUUACGGGAACGACAAACAGUAAUGUCCAGGCAUUCAAAAGGAGAUAUGUGCAAGGAAGGAGUUGAAGAGCUGAUGUUUCCAGGACAGAUUGCAAUUGCUAGAAUACUUCUUUUCAUUUGAAUUUCUUUUGUUUAUAACUUACUAGAUCACCCCUUCAACCAAAUCAUUCAUAACUUAAAUAAGUUGCUUCAUUGAAAAUUGUGGCUUUUAUGGUUGAAAUAAGUUCGAACAAUACUUUGUUUACCACAGGCUUACUAUGUUGGGCCCGUGCUAAGCACGGGCCAUGCCUUUCUAGCUUAUUUAGAAGUGGGAGUAGGGAAGGAUGAACAAGGGCAAAUAGGUAAUUCUAAUAUUAACUUUGGGAUAAUUCCUAAUGUAAAUAGUACAUUAUAAUGGGCCCAUCUGUCAUAGAUAUAUGACCUACUCUAUUAACACGUGUAUUGCUCUUUAUUUCUCAAGAAACACGUGUGCUACUAAUUGUGUUGUCUUUUUCAUUGGAACAUUUAACAAAAAACUUGUGUAAAGUGAGCUUAUUGUUCUUCUUCUGGGAAUGAUUUCUACCGUCCCUUCAGUUUUAAAUCCCUUUCCCACUGGUAUUAUACCUUUUCCUGCCAGUGUAGAACCUAGCAGAUAUCGAUUAAUCUAAUUUUAUGUUAUUUUUAUUUUGCCUUUAGGUCAAUUUUUCAUUGGAUUGGUUUGAAUUUUCUUUCAAUUUUGUUGAUUUCUUGGGUAUUUAGGGUUGUUAUACCGUUCCAUGCACUACAUUUUAGAGUUCAUUGUAAUUUGUAGCACUGGCCGUUUUUCUCCUUCUCCUCUCCGACUUGCCUAUUUACAAAUUUGUAUUUAAUAUAAUAAUUUCUCCUAUUCAGGUCUAUUACUUCAAGGAGAUAGGGGAGAAUUGCAAGCAUGAGAUGCCGGAAUGGAGCAGAAGCUUGAAAUUCAAACAAUCUAUCAAAUUUUUAUAUCGUUAUACAUCAGGUAUACCGACCUCAAUUUUUCCAAAUCAAACCAAGAAAAUAUAGGUUCUCCCCUUUUUUAUUUACCGACUAUGAAUUUCUGAUUUGAGUAGAGAUUGCAACACUAAAUUCCUUAUAGGGUGAGUUCACAAUUUUGCGGUCUACAUGAGUUACAUUCUGCUACCACAACAAUUAGUCUUCUAAUUUUUCUUCAACACCCAUACUUUUAUCUAACUCUGUUGGAGGCUAAUGGAGAUUAAACAAACAACAAACUACCUUAAGUUGAUGACAUGAUGGUUAACCUUAAAAUGCACAUGUCUCCUUUUCUGAAAAUUGGCAUGGACAAACACGAAUCAGUAGGCAAGUUGCUAAAUUAGUUUUUAGCAUUGAUGUUAUCAUAAACAAAGUCGCGUGAGAUCAUAUGAAUGAAUUGUUGGUGUUCUGUUGUAAUAGGAAAUUCUACUUUAAAGUUUACAGACUAGCUUUCUGUUACAUAUGAAUAACAAGGCUCAAUCGGACAUAGAAGACGGUCUCCAUGUUCUAAGCGUCUGAGAAAAAAAGAAGAAGAAAUGAAGAAGAAUAUGGAGAAAUGAUCUUGGCAAAAGGGUACUAACAGGAGAAGCUUUACAAAGAGUUUAAUGGUUCUUUGUCAAAAUCUUAGCUUGUGACAACAAUGCAGGGAGGAAUUUUGAAUGGAUGGAUUUUUCUUUGCAUCAACUAUAGAAUAUUUAUUUAGUUUUUGAGUUCCUCUUUAUUUAACUAGAACUACAGUGAUUACAAUAUUCAAUUUUUAUAUGUUAUGUAUUAUGUAAUGACAAUUAAAAUGUUUUUGAUACAGGUGUUCAAAAGUCA